GGGUGCAACCGAAUGACUGUUUAGCAAAAACAUAGUAGACAGGUUUAAGAUUUUUAAUAGUUGUGAAUGAUGUUUGACCAGUGCUUGUGGAAACAAGUAAACGUUGGCUGUAACUAUAACCGUCCGAAGGUAGCAAAGUUCCUUGUCACCUAAGUAGUGACCCGCAUGAAAGAUUUAACGGUUUGGUUUGUGUCCUGUGGGUAUGUUAUGGUGAAACACUAUACUACGUGAAGAUACGUGUAAUAUUAGGAUGGGACAAAAAGACCCUGAGAAGCUUUAUUGGGAGAGAGAACCAGAGGUGUUGAUAGCGGGGAUAUAUACUAGUGUAAGUGGGUAUAUUUUUCAGCAUCACCGCAUUGCCAAGCAUGCAAAACCCUGCCUUCGGAGCGGGUGCUUUCUUUUAGAGGAGCAACAAUCAUUUUACAAGGAUUUUCAGGAUUACCAUUGGAUAUGUAGGCAAGCAUUCGGUGUGGGGCUAUUUUAUUGGGGCUAUGCCUUUAUGUAAGUCAAUAAUAGGGUGCCAAGAGAACAUACUGGAAGAGAGCAGUGUUUUUAGCAAGGGCAUAUCAUGGGACAUUUGAAUGUGGGGGUAUAGUAGUGAAGGUUGUAGUCAGCAUUAGUGAACUUAAGUGUAACGUAUCAGAUAACAGCUACUCCUUGGAUAACAGGCUUAUAUAGGCUGACAGAUCGCAUGGAGGCAUAUCAUUGGCACCUCGAUGUCGGCUUGUCUCUUCUAGUAUAUUGAUUAGUAUAACUAGUGUGGUUGCUCAUCACAUAGUCAGGCAAGUGAGCUGGGUUCAGAACGAUGUAAAUCAGUUUGGUCUAUAUCUUUAUUGGUGUUGCGAGAAAGUAUAGUAUAGCAGUACGCAAGGAC
RNAcentral lists this ribosomal RNA (874 nucleotides) under Prorocentrum minimum. RNAcentral describes it as "partial Bacterial large subunit ribosomal RNA". It matches the Rfam family "Bacterial large subunit ribosomal RNA", at positions 1783 to 2692 of the family's 2925-position model. The record is from RNAcentral. Lineage: Eukaryota; Dinophyceae; Prorocentrales; Prorocentraceae.